Branchiostoma floridae (Florida lancelet) is the source of this 983-nucleotide long non-coding RNA. RefSeq lists it as uncharacterized. The record is from RefSeq and is a predicted model, not a curated record. NCBI's taxonomy places the organism in Eukaryota, Metazoa, Chordata, Leptocardii, Amphioxiformes, Branchiostomatidae. The transcript is spliced from 3 exons.
CACCCUAUGAUUACCCCAUUUCCGCAGACAUCAAUGAGUGCACCAGAGGGCCUUGUCACCAUGGACGCUGUGAGAACGAAGAUGGCGGAUACAGCUGCUCCUGCUCCACUGGAUGGACUGGACAGAAUUGUGAGCAUGGCGGCCCUGCCCUAACUGUCUACAUUGGACUGAAGAAUGGCAAGUGGACAGAUGGAUCUCAACUUUCCUAUACCAACUGGGCUCCUGGUGAACCUAACGGCAAGGCAUUGCUGUCUUGGUCUCACUCCCACUGUGCCGUUAUAUUCACAAGGAACGGCAAGGACUGGAUCGGUGGAAAGGAGAGGCAUAAAGGAGAAUGGGUGGACUAUCGAUGCGAUUUCGCCAAGCCUUACAUUUGCAAGGCUCCAAAAUAAGAACAUGUGAUUGAGGAAAGAUUUAAGACAAGAACGAAAAUAAAAGGACAUCGAUAAUUCGUCUGAGUAAAAUCUUUCUCCCAAAUGUUGUCACAGCUUUUGAAAGUAAUAAAAAUGGAAGAAAAACCAAAAUAUGACGGAAGAGAAAAAAUUAAAAGAGGGGUGGUGGAUGACACCGAAAACCAUAUGCAUUGUCAAGUAUAAAUGUUGUAAUCACGGUUACAUUGCCAUUCAUUUGGCAAUCAUCGUAUAUCACUUUACCGUAUCGAUGCCUCAAUGCGUACAGAAAUUAUUAUCAUUGCAAAAAUCAAUAACUGUUGUCAAACAAAAGCCAUUUUGCUGGUUUUACAAUUCAAAAAUAAAAAUGCUUAGAAGAUCAACAUAAUAGCGCUGCGUGACCUGUAAACGCAUUGCCAAAUGCUGAGUUUUAAUUCCUAGGGCAUACACGUUACACAGUACACGGACCAUCUUAGCAAAACAAAACUGUGAAAUGUUAUGCCUCGUAAUCCCAAAAUCCCAGACUGGUGCGGUCCAGCUGGACAACUCCACUUUAUUGCACCAUCCGGAUAAUUGCACGAAAUACGCUGGUAA